RNAcentral lists this small nuclear RNA (109 nucleotides) under Rhinopithecus bieti (black snub-nosed monkey). Lineage: Eukaryota; Metazoa; Chordata; Mammalia; Primates; Cercopithecidae. The record is from RNAcentral.
GUGCUCGCUUCAGCAGCACAUAUGUACUAAAAUUGGAAUGAUACAGAGAAGAUUAGCAUGGCCCCUGCACAAAGGUAACAGGCAAAUUCGUGAAGCAUUCCGUAUUUUU